UCCCUGGAGGGCUAAUGGUUAGGUCUUGGCUCUCUCACUGCUGUGGCCCAGGUUCAAUUCCUGGCCAGGGAA
Molecule: transfer RNA, 72 nt
Filed under: Pangasianodon gigas (Mekong giant catfish)
Lineage: Eukaryota; Metazoa; Chordata; Actinopteri; Siluriformes; Pangasiidae
Description: tRNA-Glu
Rfam family: tRNA
About the family: Transfer RNA (tRNA) molecules are approximately 80 nucleotides in length.
Source: RNAcentral